This 73-nucleotide transfer RNA is filed under the name Candidatus Methanomethylophilaceae archaeon. RNAcentral describes it as "tRNA-Val". It matches the Rfam family "tRNA". From Rfam's summary of the family: Transfer RNA (tRNA) molecules are approximately 80 nucleotides in length. Their secondary structure includes four short double-helical elements and three loops (D, anti-codon, and T loops). Further hydrogen bonds mediate the characteristic L-shaped molecular structure. tRNAs have two regions of fundamental functional importance: the anti-codon, which is responsible for specific mRNA codon recognition, and the 3' end, to which the tRNAs corresponding amino acid is attached (by aminoacyl-tRNA synthetases). tRNAs cope with the degeneracy of the genetic code in two manners: having more than one tRNA (with a specific anti-codon) for a particular amino acid; and 'wobble' base-pairing, i.e. permitting non-standard base-pairing at the 3rd anti-codon position. The record is from RNAcentral. Lineage: Archaea; Methanobacteriati; Thermoplasmatota; Thermoplasmata; Methanomassiliicoccales; Methanomethylophilaceae.
GGGCUCGUGGUCUAGGGGUUAUGACGUCGCCUUGACAUGGCGGAGGCCGCCGGUUCAAAUCCGGCCGAGCCCA